AGUCACUUGCCUUGUAACUGAGCCCUCAUAUGACCAAUUUUAAAGUUGCCACAGACCUCCACGUUGAAGCUCAUGUAAUUGGAACAUGCCCAGAUGAACCAUGUAUGAAACCAUGGGCAGAACCUAAGUGCUAAGAUGGAGGCGCAAGAACUGAAUUAAGAAGGAGACACUGAAUGACAGGAUUCAGGAUCCAAUCAUAUGGAGCCCUGGUAUCAUCUCAUUAUAAGAUCCAAUCAGAUCACAUCUCAUUAUGCUAUGCUUGUAAUACCAGUCCCAGCUCCCAGCUCAGGGAGACAGAUUUGAGCAUUUCCUCCUGUCCGCUGCCAGUUGACUUGCAAUAAA
Molecule: long non-coding RNA, 342 nt
Filed under: Homo sapiens (human)
Lineage: Eukaryota; Metazoa; Chordata; Mammalia; Primates; Hominidae
Description: HSALNT0251745
Source: RNAcentral